Oncorhynchus tshawytscha (Chinook salmon) is the source of this 1470-nucleotide long non-coding RNA. Lineage: Eukaryota; Metazoa; Chordata; Actinopteri; Salmoniformes; Salmonidae. The record is from Ensembl.
AACACAUUUAAACUUACUGUGUUUUUCAAUGCUGAUUUGAAUGUCCUUGAUGGAAUUCACAUUUUUCUGCUUCAACAAAGAGCUGGUUCUCCAGGAGACCUUGGAGGACUUGUCGGACGUGGAGAAAAUGUUCUUGAGCUGUGCGGGAAAAGACGAGGAUGUCGUUGAGGUAGAUGAACAUGUUAACAUGUCGUGGACAACGGCGUUAACCAGAGCCUGGAACACAGCAGGAGCGUUGGUCAGACUGAAUGGCAUCACCAGGUAUUUGUAGUGUCCGCUAUGUUGAAGGCUGUCUUCCACUCGCCACAUUCCCAUAUCUGCACCAGAUGGUAGGUGUUCCACAGGUCUAACUUAGAGAAAAUGGUGGCACCCUGGAGCAGCUCAAAAGCCGAGGCGAUGAGUGGUAGCGGUUCUUAACCGUGAUGUCGUUAAUGCCCCGGUAGUCGAUGCACGGGCACAGUUUUGUCCCUCUUCUCCACAAAGAAGAACCCGGUGGAUACACCCUGCAGCCAAGGAGUCCUCGAUGUACGUUUUCAUAACCUUGGUCUCUGGACCUGACAGAGAAUACAGCCAUACUCGGGGUGGUGUAGUGCCCUGGAGAAGAUUGAUCAUGCAGUUGUAGGGAAGCAAAGGGGCCCGGGCCUUGCUGAAAACAUCCCGAAGGUCCUGGUACUCCGUGGGAAUGGCUGAGAUGUCCGAGGCUUCAUCCGAGCCCGCAGGAAGAUGUCUCAGGGCAGGCUGCGCCGACUUCAGGCAAUGAGCGUGGCAGAACAGGCUCCAGCCCAUGAUAGCAUCAGCAGACUGACUACAGAGUGCCCAACUAGCGCACUGACAUCCAUGGUAAUGUAAAGGGGCUGAGUGGGGAUACCCAGCUCUGACACCAGGGUAGUGUCCAUGAAACUCUCAUCGGCCCCAGAGUCAAUGAGUACCUGGAGAGAUUUCGACUGGUCGCCCUACAGCAGGAUGGCAUGGAGAGGGGUACGAGUAAGAGGAGAAGGAAAAUUCUCUGUACGGCCACCAGAGUACUACUGAUGAGCCUGUUUUUUAAUGGGCAGGUAGAAACGUAAUGACCGGUAGUCCGGCAAUACAGACAACUCUUGGUGUUAAGUCUGCAUAAUGGUCGGCUGGAGACAACCUAGCUCUGCCGAGUUGCAUCGGCUCUGGAAGAGGCUAGUCAGCAGACCUCAGAGACUCUCGGCGGAACGCAGGUAACCUCGGAUUCUCUUGGGAAUGUAGACGUUGGGGACUUCCUGGAUUCCUCUCUUCCAGACAAUGGAGAAUCUGAACAUUUUUUCACCUCAGCCACAAACUCCUCCAGACUGAAGCUUGAAGAUGAGGGGGAACUGGGAGAGAAACACCCGACUGGUUCCUGACUCUCCAGCGAAGCAUUACGGAGGGGUCCGUGUUGUUCCAUAAGGUGUCCAGACGGAUUACCAGGACAUGUACUCAAAGCAUACGCGGACCAACUGG